AGCGCACGUAGGCGGGUUGGGAGGUAGUUGGCCAAGUUGAAUACGAUGAAUUAUUUACCGUGUUUGAACACGGUGAAUCAUUCACCGUGUUUCAUAUUUAUAUUCCUUUUCUUCUCUUUUAGGGAUGUACGGGUCGGGUUCGGGUUCGGGUUUCGGGUUUUUAGUCGGGUAUGGAUAUGGGUAUGAAUUUUUAAAACCCACCGGGUUUGGAUUCGGGUUCGAGUUUUAAUUUGAUUUUCGGAUUCGGGUUCGGAUUUUAGGGAUGUCAAAGAGUCGGGUCAGGGUUCGGGUUUCAAGUUUUUGGUCGGGUAUGGAUAUGGGUAUGGAUUUUUAAAAUUCGCCGGGUUCGGAUUUGGGUUCGAGUUCGAGUUUUAAUUUUAUUUUCGGAUUCGGGUUCGGAUUUUUGAAAACUCAAUCCAAAUCCGACCCGUUGUUAUCCCUAAAAGAGAAAAAAAAUGAAUAUAAAUAUGAAACAUGGUGAAUAAUUCACUGUGUUUUAAUACGGUGAAUGAUUCACCGUGUUCAACUUGGCAAGCGACCUCCCAGCCUGCCCACGUGGCUCUUGUGUGGUAGGAAUUGGGCCAUUUUUACAAUUAUAAAUUUAUUGGGACUAGUUUUAAAAUAAAAUUUUUUCAGGGAGUCAUUUGCAUAAAAAAGGCCCAAAAAAAAACUAAAGGUCAAAAACUAAAGAAUAAUAAAAAAAAUAAAGAAGAAGGAAGAAAAAGAUAAAAAUUAUACUGUUAAGAUAACAUUGCACUGUUUUAAAAGAAUAUUGCACUAUUAUGGACGUAAGUUGCACUAUUUGAGAUAUAAACUGCACACUUUAAACGAAAAUUUUACUAUUUAAGAGAUAUUUAUAUAUUUUUUUUCUUAUUGCACUCUUUGAAAUGAAAACUGCGUCUUUUAAGUUCAAUCUUUUAUAUCCAUACAAAUUAAGUUCAAUCUUUUAUAUUUAUUCCUACAAAAAUUUUAACGUUUUUAAAUAUACCAUACUAUUAAGAUUCAUUAAACAAAUAUUAUUAAUCAUAGCUAAAAUACUUAACUUGAUUAGUGCAUGAGCUAAAUUGACCUUUUUACCUCUUUUAUAUUAUUUGUGAUGGUAGAAAAAAAGAAGAUGACCGUUGAAAAUUUUUGAAAGGACAAUUUGCAUAAUUUUAACCGUUGGAAUUUUUAGAGAAAUAUAUUUGUGAUGAUAAAAAUAUUAAUUUAUGUAUUUUUUAUUAAAAAAUAGUACUCCGAUGAUAAUAAAUUAGAGAAAUAAAUAUAAAUAUUACUAAAUUUUUGUGGGAAACAAAUAUUUGCUAGUCGAUAUGUUCAGGAGAACUGAAUGAAAUUAUCCAAUAAGGUAUCGUUUGGUUCGGGGAUAAGCAAAAAGUGGGUAUUCCAGGGAUAGGUAUAAUUGAGGUAUAAGCGGGGAUUAGAUCAAUUUUGCGUUUGAAUGAAAAUUGGGUUAUUCCUCGGAAUAAAAAAAAAUAACGUUUGGUUAGGUAAGAUGGAAUAAGAUUUAAAGUGGGUAGUUAUAAAUAAAAAUUAAUAAUAUUAUCACUUUUUUAUUUAUAUUAGAAUUUAAAUUUUUAUAUUUUAUAUUUAUAUUUUAAAAUUUAAAAUUUUAACUUUUAAAUUUCAAAUUUUGAAAUUUAAAUUUAAAAUUUAAAAUCUCAAAUUUUAAAUUCAAAAUUUAAAUUUUAAAUUUCUAACUUUAAAUUUAAGAUCAAAUUUAAAUUUGAAAAAAAAUAAAUUCAAAUUUAAAAUUUCAAAAAUUUAAAAUUUCAAAAUUUAAAUUUAAAAUUUAAAAUGUGGAAUUUAAAAUUAUAAACUUUAAUUUUGAGAUUACAAAUUUUAAAUUUUAAAUAUAAUUUGUUAUAAUAUUUUAAAUUUUAAAUUUAUUUAAAUUUUAAAUUUUAAUUUAUUUUAAUAUUUAAAUAUAAUUUAUUAUAAAAUUUAUUAUAAUAUUUAAAUAUAAAUAAUAUGUAUUAAUAUAGCACAAUUAAUAAUUUUAUAAUAAAAAUAAUGUAUUAUAAUAUAUAAUAUAUUAUAUUUAUAUAAUUUAGUUUUAAUUUACUUUAUAAUUUUAAUUAAGUUUGAAAUUAAGUAUGGGAAUAGCACUAUUCCACCAAAAUGGUGGAAUAGUAAAAAGCUUGCUAUUCCGGAAUAACCGGGAAUAGCAAGCUUUGACCGGAAUAAAAUAUUCCGGUAAAAAAUGAUCCCGUUUGGCGGAAUAGCGGGGAUAAUCGCCGCUUAUCCCCGUUUGGCGAAAUAGCGGGGAUAAUCCCCGCUUAUCCCCGCUUAUCCCGUUUGGCGGAAUAGCACUAUUCCACCAAAAAUUUUAACGUUUUUAAAUAUACCAUACUAUUAAGAUUCAUUAAACAAAUAUUAUUAAUCAUAGCUAAAAUACUUAACUUGAUUAGUGCAUGAGCUAAAUUGACCUUUUUACCUCUUUUAUAUUAUUUGUGAUGGUAGAAAAAAAGAAGAUGACCGUUGAAAAUUUUUGAAAGGACAAUUUGCAUAAUUUUAACCGUUGGAAUUUUUAGAGAAAUAUAUUUGUGAUGAUAAAAAUAUUAAUUUAUGUAUUUUUUAUUAAAAAAUAGUACUUCAAUGAUAAUAAAUUAGAGAAAUAAAUAUAAAUAUUACUAAAUUUUUGUGGGAAACAAA
Molecule: long non-coding RNA, 2652 nt
Filed under: Ananas comosus (pineapple)
Lineage: Eukaryota; Viridiplantae; Streptophyta; Magnoliopsida; Poales; Bromeliaceae
Description: long non-coding RNA (ACOM_LNC030034)
Source: RNAcentral